AUCUAUUUGGCAGAUCAAUGCACUAAGUUUAAGCCUUAGAAACAAGAAUUAAAGUCAUUCUAAAGAACC
This 69-nucleotide transfer RNA is filed under the name Leucauge celebesiana. Its description in RNAcentral is "tRNA-Leu". Lineage: Eukaryota; Metazoa; Arthropoda; Arachnida; Araneae; Tetragnathidae. The record is from RNAcentral.